UACAGAGGGGGCAAGCGUUGUUCGGAAUUACUGGGCGUAAAGGGCGCGUAGGCGGCCUUCUAAGUCGAACGUGAAAUCCCCGGGCUCAACCCGGGAACUGCGUCCGAUACUGGAAGGCUUGAAUCCGGGAGAGGGAUGCGGAAUUCCAGGUGUAGCGGUGAAAUGCGUAGAUAUCGGGAGGAACACCGGUGGCGAAGGCGGUUCUCUGGGCCUUACCUGACGCUGAGGAGCGAAAGCGUGGGGAGCGAACAGG
Molecule: ribosomal RNA, 253 nt
Filed under: uncultured bacterium
Lineage: Bacteria
Description: partial 16S ribosomal RNA
Rfam family: Bacterial small subunit ribosomal RNA
Source: RNAcentral